GAAGAAGGCCAGGUAAUCGCUCUGAUUUCAGGUUGCUGGAAUCAGGGAGGAAAGUCCGGGCUCCGCAGGGCAGGGUGUCCUGAACAUUCAGGAUCCCGUGAGGGAAGGAAAGUGCAACAGAAAAGAUACCGCAGGAAAGCCUACGGCUUUCACUUAUGGCUAUUAGCCAAAAGCUAUAAGCUAUAAUGUGUGGCGCAAGCCACCUGUAAGGGUGAAAAGGCGAGGUAAGAGCUCACCUUCUGGUAUGGUAACAUACCGGGAUUGCAAACCCCACCCGGAGCAAAGCCAAGUAAACUCGCUAUGGAACUGCCCGUUCCGGAUGAUUUAUAUCACCAGCGAGAGGGUAGGCUGCUUAGAUAGAUGAUUACCGUCCUGAAUCCUUUCAGGAAACAGAACCCGGCUUAUGGCCUUCUUCAUUU
This 419-nucleotide RNase P RNA is filed under the name Candidatus Schekmanbacteria bacterium GWA2_38_9. RNAcentral describes it as "RNase P RNA component class A". It matches the Rfam family "Bacterial RNase P class A". Rfam says of the family: Ribonuclease P (RNase P) is a ubiquitous endoribonuclease, found in archaea, bacteria and eukarya as well as chloroplasts and mitochondria. Its best characterised activity is the generation of mature 5'-ends of tRNAs by cleaving the 5'-leader elements of precursor-tRNAs. Cellular RNase Ps are ribonucleoproteins. RNAcentral also lists the same sequence under 2 other names. Lineage: Bacteria; Candidatus Schekmaniibacteriota. The record is from RNAcentral.